Molecule: transfer RNA, 91 nt
Filed under: Desulfovibrio piger
Lineage: Bacteria; Pseudomonadati; Thermodesulfobacteriota; Desulfovibrionia; Desulfovibrionales; Desulfovibrionaceae
Also listed under: 1 other name
Description: tRNA-Ser
Rfam family: tRNA
About the family: Transfer RNA (tRNA) molecules are approximately 80 nucleotides in length.
Source: RNAcentral
GGAAGGGUGGCAGAGCGGUUGAAUGCAGCGGUCUUGAAAAUCGCCGGCGGUGUGAUGCCGCCCGUGGGUUCGAAUCCCACCCCUUCCGCCA